RNAcentral lists this ribosomal RNA (392 nucleotides) under uncultured bacterium. RNAcentral's name for it is "partial 16S ribosomal RNA". It matches the Rfam family "Bacterial small subunit ribosomal RNA", at positions 523 to 918 of the family's 1533-position model. The record is from RNAcentral.
AUACGGAGGAUCCGAGCGUUAUCCGGAUUUAUUGGGUUUAAAGGGUGCGCAGGCGGCCAUUUAAGUCAGCGGUUAAAUCGUGGGGCACAACCCCAUUCUGCCGUUGAUACUGGGUGGCUUGAUUGCGGUCGAGGUUGGCGGAAUUCGUUGUGUAGCGGUGAAAUGCAUAGAUAUGACGAAGAACACCGAUUGCGUAGGCAGCUGACCAGAUCGCAAAUGACGCUCAUGCACGAAAGUGCGGGGAUCGAACAGGAUUAGAUACCCUGGUAGUCCGCACAGUAAACGAUGAAUACUUGUUUUCGGCGAUAUAAUGUCGGAGGCAAAGCGAAAGCGAUAAGUAUUCCACCUGGGGAGUACGCCGGCAACGGUGAAACUUAAAGGAAUUGACGGGG